This 425-nucleotide ribosomal RNA is filed under the name uncultured prokaryote. RNAcentral's name for it is "bacterial SSU rRNA". It matches the Rfam family "Bacterial small subunit ribosomal RNA", at positions 355 to 774 of the family's 1533-position model. The record is from RNAcentral.
UCUAGAGGCUUCGGCAAUGGGGGCAACCCUGACCGAGCGACGCCGCGUGCGGGAUUGAAGGCCUUCGGGUCGUAAACCGCUGUCAGGUGGGAAGAAUGCCCGUAUGGCGAAUACGGGAGCGACGGUACCACCAGAGGAAGCCCCGGCUAACUCCGUGCCAGCAGCCGCGGUAAUACGGAGGGGGCAAGCGUGAUUCGGAUUUACUGGGCGUAAAGGGUGCGUAGGCGGCCGCGCAAGUCUGACGUGAAAUCUUCACCGCUCAACGGGAAGAGGUCGUUGGAAACUGCGUGGCUCGAGUGUGGUAGAGGCAAGCGGAAUUCCAGGUGUAGCGGUGGAAUGUGUAGAUAUCUGGAAGAACACCCGUGGCGAAGGCGGCUUGCUGGGCCAUCACUGACGCUGAGGCACGAAAGCGUGGGGAGCAAACG